Molecule: non-coding RNA, 327 nt
Organism: Nicotiana tabacum (common tobacco)
Lineage: Eukaryota; Viridiplantae; Streptophyta; Magnoliopsida; Solanales; Solanaceae
Source: RefSeq, a predicted model, not a curated record
CAAUACCCGAUUGAGAAGAUGAAGAGAACUGGAAAGGGCAUUAUCUGAGAAGUCUGGAGAACUUGAACAAACAAGGAAAUAAAAGAAGGUGAAGCAAUUGAUCUUCCUACAGUGAAAUGUUAGGCAUCAUUCCAGAUUUGGGAUUUCCGGAUGGUGACAAGGCAAAACGUGAAAAUCAAGUUGGAAAAGGUGAAAAGUUGUAAAGCAUGUAGCAGCGUCGGGCUUAAGUCGACGAGAUUCGCCACUUCAAAAUUCUCCAAAAACCUCAGAGUUCUGAUUUCUUGUUUCCGGCGACUGCUCCGCCGCCUGCUCUCUUUUCCCGGUAAU